Molecule: ribosomal RNA, 222 nt
Filed under: uncultured bacterium
Lineage: Bacteria
Description: partial 16S ribosomal RNA
Rfam family: Bacterial small subunit ribosomal RNA
Source: RNAcentral
CGGACGUGAGGAACCUGCCUUGAAGAGGGGGACAACAGUUGGAAACGACUGCUAAUACCGCAUGACGCAUAGGGGUCGCAUGAUUCUUAUGCCAAAGAUUUAUCGCUUCAAGAUGGCCUCGCGUCUGAUUAGCUAGUUGGCGGGGUAACGGCCCACCAAGGCGACGAUCAGUAGCCGGACUGAGAGGUUGAACGGCCACAUUGGGACUGAGAUACGGCCCAG